RNAcentral lists this ribosomal RNA (406 nucleotides) under uncultured bacterium. RNAcentral describes it as "partial 16S ribosomal RNA". It matches the Rfam family "Bacterial small subunit ribosomal RNA", at positions 30 to 526 of the family's 1533-position model. The record is from RNAcentral.
AUUGAACGCUGGCGGCAGGCCUAACACAUGCAAGUCGAGCGAGCGGCGGACGGGUGAGUAAUGUCUGGGACACUGCCUGAUGGAGGGGGAUAACUACUGUCAACGGUAGCUAAUCCCGCAUACCAUCAGAUGUGCCCUGAUGGGAUUAGCUAGUAGGUGGGGUAAAGGCUCACCUAGGCGACGAUCCCUAGCUGGUCUGAGAGGAUGACCAGCCACACUGGAACUGGGACACGGUCCAGACUCCUACGGGAGGCAGCAGUGGGGAAUAUUGCACAAUGGGCGCAAGCCUGAUGCAGCCAUGCCGCGUGUGUGAAGAAGGCCUUCGGGUUGUAAAGCACUUUCAGCGGGGAGGCGGGACCCGCAGAAGAAGCACCGGCUAACUCCGUGCCAGCAGCCGCGGUAAUAC